GACGAACGCUGGCGGCGUGCUUAACACAUGCAAGUCGAACGGAAAGGCCCUGCUUUUGUGGGGUGCUCGAGUGGCGAACGGGUGAGUAACACGUGAGUAACCUGCCCUUGACUUUGGGAUAACUUCAGGAAACUGGGGCUAAUACCGGAUAGGAGCUCCUGCUGCAUGGUGGGGGUUGGAAAGUUUCGGCGGUUGGGGAUGGACUCGCGGCUUAUCAGCUUGUUGGUGGGGUAGUGGCUUACCAAGGCUUUGACGGGUAGCCGGCCUGGGAGGGUGACCGGACAAGCAGGAAGUGGAAUAAGACACGGCCCAGAGCCGGGGGCGGGGGAGAAGUAGGGAGCAUGGGGCAAGGGGGGAAGACGGGGCAAAGCAGCGGGGAGUGAGGGAGGAUGGGGGUAGGGUAGUGAAGCUCACUGACCAGAGAUGAGAGUGACGGUACUGGGAAAAUAAGCACCGGCUAACUCCGUG
RNAcentral lists this ribosomal RNA (468 nucleotides) under uncultured bacterium. Its description in RNAcentral is "partial 16S ribosomal RNA". It matches the Rfam family "Bacterial small subunit ribosomal RNA", at positions 28 to 507 of the family's 1533-position model. The record is from RNAcentral.